AGAGUUGAGAUCGGGUCGUCUC
RNAcentral lists this microRNA (22 nucleotides) under Murid gammaherpesvirus 4 (Murine herpesvirus 68). Its description in RNAcentral is "mghv-miR-M1-5-5p". Its record names the gene mghv-miR-M1-5-5p. Lineage: Duplodnaviria; Heunggongvirae; Peploviricota; Herviviricetes; Herpesvirales; Orthoherpesviridae. The record is from miRBase by way of RNAcentral.